This 473-nucleotide ribosomal RNA is filed under the name uncultured bacterium. RNAcentral describes it as "bacterial SSU rRNA". It matches the Rfam family "Bacterial small subunit ribosomal RNA", at positions 29 to 480 of the family's 1533-position model. The record is from RNAcentral.
AACUAACGCUGGCGGCGUGCCUAACACAUGCAAGUCGUACGAGAAAGUCGGCUUCGGCUGAUGAGUAAAGUGGCGCACGGGUGAGUAACGCGUGGAUAAUCUGCCCUUGAGUGUGGAAUAACGUACCGAAAGGUGCGCUAAUACCGCAUAAUGCCUGGCAACACAAGUUGUCCGGCCAAAGAAGGCCUCUGUUUACAAGCUUUUGCUCAAGGAUGAGUCCGCGUACCAUUAGCUAGUUGGUGGGGUAACGGCCUACCAAGGCGACGAUGGUUAGCUGGUCUGAGAGGAUGAUCAGCCACACUGGAACUGAGACACGGUCCAGACUCCUACGGGAGCAGCAGUGAGGAAUAUUGCGCAAUGGGGCAACCUGACGCAGCAACGCCGCGUGAGUGAGGAAGGUUUUCGGACUGUAAAGCUCUGUCGAGCGGGAAGAAGUGUACCAUGGCUAAUAUCCAUGAUAUUUGACGGUACCG